RNAcentral lists this long non-coding RNA (2234 nucleotides) under Chloebia gouldiae (Gouldian finch). RNAcentral describes it as "Erythrura gouldiae (Gouldian finch) lncRNA (ENSEGOG00005012756.1)". Lineage: Eukaryota; Metazoa; Chordata; Aves; Passeriformes; Passeridae. The record is from RNAcentral.
AGUGGAGUGGUGAAAGAGUGAACUGUGGACUGGGAGAAAGCAUUGCUAUUAUCAGAUCUAGCUAAGUUCCUGCAAAUCCCAGCAUUUCCUGCAAAUCCCAGCAGCUCUGGCACUUACAGCAGCACAGACUUACCUGGUUUGCAUUGCUCUGUAACACUGCUGGCCAGUACUUCUGAACUGAAAGUGAAAAUGCAGUGUUUGCUGCAUUUUGAUUACACUUAAUGAUGGGAGGAGCCGGCUUUUUCUCUGAGAUCAUUGACUUCUCAUUUCCUCUGGAAGAGGAAUGAUUUGGGAUCUGGAAAAGUUGCACAGGCACUUGGAGAAGGGAAGAGGCAUGAAGGAGUCCUUGGACACAGCUUCUGAGGGAGAAGACUGAGGGAGAAGCCUGCCCUGGCACUGGGGAGGAUCUGGGAGAGCUCCAGCCCUGCUGGAGCUGAGCCCCCUGGGCAUCCUCAUGGACUCUCCCCACCUCCUGCACUUGGGUUUCCUGCUCCUGGCUCUUGCUGCUCCCCAUCCAAUUAUUGCCAUGUCCAGUGCUGGCCCUGCUAACAGGACACAAGGCAGAAUUACAACAGUCUACUACUGCAAGGACUAUAAAUACUGCACGUGCAAAAAAGACCAAAAUGAUUUAAAAGCCUUUACAAGAAUUGCCGAAAUACAAAACAAGAGAAAUACUAUUUCAGAUGUACCAGUUGAGUUGGUGAAGAACAAAUCACACAUCACUGUUUGCUUUGAGCAUGCAGAUUCCUCUCCUGAAGGAAUGUAUGGCCUCUACUCGGACGAAACUGGUCAACCAAAAAUCUGGUGUGGCAACCUGAAUUCUGGAGGAAAUGGAGAAGAUACUAAGGAGAAGAAUGUUUGCUGUGAAGCAGAGGCAGUUGCCUGGAAUCACAACUCUCACCUGAAGUGCUACAUUCAAAAGUCACUUCCAAAACCCACAUCACUGCCAAUUGCCAAUCCUGAUGAGGAAAUGCUAGGUUAUCCUGAAUUUCUCAUCAGCAAGAGCAGCUCUGGCAUCUUGUUGGCAUUCCUGCUUGUUGGGGUUUGCACAGGAUGGGGCACCAUGUUUUACUUCUUGCGGCUGCGGCGUCGCCGAGCUUUUGAACAAGACAGUAUUCUGACAGAGAAAAGCUCACACAUUCAUGAUAUAACCAUGUCAAGGGAGAAAACUCCUCUGCCAGCAGCAUCCUCCUCCUCUCUCACGAUGUACAGCAACCAGCAGAACACAGACUGAUUUUCCAUGAAAACUCCAGCUGUAGUAUUCCCAAAUAGUCCUGUUUUCACAAAUGUAGCUUCACCACAUCCACACCUUCCCUGAGCACGGUGACUCUUGUCCAGCUCCAGGCCUUUGUGAGCAGCACAGGCAGCACCAAGAGCUCCAUCCUCUCCUGAUGCUUGGCUGCAGAGAGCAGGAAGCCCAGAGUGUGGGGCUGACUCAGCAGCACAGGCUGAAAGCAGCUGAAUUCUCUCUGUGACAAAGUGGGAACAGCUCUGGAGCACUUCCCGUGCCCUCUGCAUGCCUUUCACUCUGGAAUGCCACAGCAGCACCCGGGUGCCUGUAUUGUUUUAAUUCUCAGGUCAGCUCUGCAUUCACCAAAGCUUUUCUAUCACCAGCUGGCUGGUAGGUUGAACUGGAAAAGUUGGGAUGAGAUAUUUGAUUUUGCCCCCACCUGCAGACUGAGUCUGAAUGUUUGUUCCUGUGCAGGGCUGGGUGGGAGGUUGUGUCCAGCUCUCUCAGGAAUGGCAUUGGGUCAUUCCCCAGUGCCAUUCCCAAGAGGCCUUGGUCUCCCCCCAGGCUGAACAGAACUCUGACAUCAAUCUUCCUGACAAAUUAGCCAGUUUAGACAGUGUGAGAUGAGUACAGCCCCUCAGGAAUCCCACUGGGUACUUGGUAUCCUUAAAUCAUUCCCCAUUCCCACUUGAUUUGAGUAAAUCCUCAGCUUUUGCAUUGGAUCUAAUAGUCUUUAGUAUCAAGACUCUUGAUCAAAAAUCAGUGGCAGCACAAGGGGAGAAACAAAUCCCUAAAGCAAUAUGAAUGUUUGCUGAAUCACUGUCCUUUUGUCCUUAAACACAAGCACACACACAGACAGCUCUUGGCUCUUUUCUCCUUUGAUUGACUAGAUUUUGUUUGUAGCUUGUUUUUUCCUUAAUGUGCCUUAACCAUGCAGUCAGUAGCAGAGUGAACCUUGGCAACAAACUCUGUUGUGCUGGUGCUUAAUAUCAAAUCUGGAUUC